Molecule: non-coding RNA, 98 nt
Organism: Acanthosepion pharaonis
Lineage: Eukaryota; Metazoa; Mollusca; Cephalopoda; Sepiida; Sepiidae
Source: the annotation of a GenBank genome assembly
UUGAAAUACUAGUUCCCGUAAGAUCUUCAAAGUUAAGCAACGUCGAAUCAGGUCAGUACCUAGAUGGGUGACCUCUUGGGAACACAAGGUGCUGUAAG